This 1347-nucleotide long non-coding RNA is filed under the name Betta splendens (Siamese fighting fish). RNAcentral's name for it is "lncRNA (ENSBSLG00000009709.1)". The record is from RNAcentral. Lineage: Eukaryota; Metazoa; Chordata; Actinopteri; Anabantiformes; Osphronemidae.
CCCAGACUAACUCCAUUGAUGUCAGAAGAGUACAUCCUUUAAGCCCAGUGUGUGUUCCUCAAUGAAGAUCCUGGCAACCUUGUGAAAGAAUGGAUGAUCGUGGACGCCUUGAAGAAGCCAUGAUAGAGACAAUUCUUGAAGUUUUUGUCAUUCACAAAGAUGCAGAGGCAGAUGAUGACCCUGAAGAUGUAGUCAUCGUUUCAAGUGUUGUUGUUUGCUCUUGUUAUAUGCUCUCAACCUCAGCUACCCUCCACUAAAAGUUGUUUGAAAUAUUGGCCCAAUGCUGUAUGUACAAUACUGGAUGUUAGUGACAUUUUGUAGCUGCCUUUGACAUUUGAAAGCUGUUUUAUUGUUUUUAUGGAGCUUAUAAAGUAUUCUAACCAGUCUAAAUCCAAUGUGCUUUGUGUCUUCUCCAACCUACACACCAGCUGGGGAUAUAUGUUAGUUUGCAUAAUAGAAAUACUGUUUCAAAGAUUACUUUAUUUGUAUGUAAUUUUGAAAAGCUAAUCUUGGCACAAAACAUUUGAUAACUUUACAUUGGUUGUGUUAGUAUAGCAUAAUUUAUUAAUUAAUUUAAAUUAACUUGUUACUACCCUAUAAAAUUAAGUAACAAGUAUUAAUAUUAUACAUGAUCAAAUAACCCAAGAAAAUUAUGUUCAAUCAACCCUAAAAACAUUAGUGGGACUGACCCAUGGUCAUUAGGUAACAUUAACAUGAAUAUAUCAUGUUGCUUCACCCUGUUUACAUUUGGUUCACUAAGCGAAAUAGCUUCUUGCUAUCUUAACGCAUUUUAAUUAGAUGGAAAUACUUUCCAUAAUUUUAUUAUGUUCAUCCAACAAGUUUUUUUUUUGAGUGUAGAGAUGUCCAACUCGAGAUCUCCCACUCGACUCAGCGUCGAUCUUCCGAAGCGGAAGUGUCGUCAAGCAGAAUCUCGAGCGCGUUCCGAAUCACGUGACCAAUGAGAGCGAGAGGUGUCGAUACGUCACGUGACUGCUGAGCGGCUUGUGUGCAGUAUGAACGGACGGUUGUUUUAAUAUGGCAGAGCUUUAUAAACGUGGCAAGCGGUCCGCAGAUGAUCUACUGUAUAAGAUGAUAGAUGAUCUAUAAGAUAGACAGGUUUCACAUUACAGACAUCUGUAAUGUAUUUAUGAAGAGUUCAACAAAAUGUAAUUAAAAACUAAAACUACAUUUUGACAAGUCGCAAUUCCAAUAUGAUAUCUUUAUUUGUCAGACAUCAGUGCCGUGCAAACGGCUCUUCUCUAAAAGCUGGAGAGGUGGUGAGAAUGUGAUUAAAGUCAUGUUCUGUGGAAAAAUAAAAUGAAAUAAAGGUCUUUGAUUUAACUAACU